UACGAGGGGGGGCGAGCGUUUGUUCGGAAUUAUUGGGCGUAAAGAGCUCGUAGGCGGUGUGUCGCGUCGGCCGUGAAAACCUGCAGCUUAACUGUGGGCUUGCGGUCGAUACGGGCAUCACUGGAGUUCGGCAGGGGGAGACUGGAAUUCCUGGUGUAGCGGUGAAAUUCGUAGAUAUCGGGAGGAACACCAGUGGCGAAGGCGGCGACCUGGACGGACACUGACGCUGAGACGCGAAAGCGUGGGGAGCAAACAGGG
Molecule: ribosomal RNA, 258 nt
Filed under: uncultured bacterium
Lineage: Bacteria
Description: partial 16S ribosomal RNA
Rfam family: Bacterial small subunit ribosomal RNA
Source: RNAcentral